This is a long non-coding RNA of Monopterus albus (swamp eel), 3106 nucleotides long. RefSeq lists it as uncharacterized. NCBI's taxonomy places the organism in Eukaryota, Metazoa, Chordata, Actinopteri, Synbranchiformes, Synbranchidae. The transcript has 4 exons. The record is from RefSeq and is a predicted model, not a curated record.
UGCAGCUCAUUCAUGAUCACACUGAAGCGAUACUGCUGUGUCUUCACGCCCUGAAGGGGAAACCAAAGUCAGUUGGUCCAGGGCAUCUAGGGCCAGGCGGUAUCCAUCCGUGGAGAACACGGUUAGGGCAGCAAGUAGCUCAAAUACCUGCAUCUUCACCAUGGUGUUGGAGGUGUCCAAGGCUGUGGAGCAUCAUGAUCAAACACAUCAGUACAGGGCACUGUUGGGAACAAGAGCUCACUCUUCAUUAGGUUGAUGAUGAUCAUGAGCAGAUGACUGGAAAGUUCAACUUGGCAGAAACAGAGGAAGCAGGCCACAACGAGAACUUAUCGAAAAGGAAGCAGAAUGGGAAACAAUAGCUCAGCACUCUGCGGAUGAGUAAAAGAUAUGUCAGCAGUCCAGUCAACACCAGCUCUGUCAAACAUUCCAGCCUAAUCCUAUAUGAAAGAGAAGAGAGUCACUAUCCGUCCAUCAAAACAAGCAGGCUCAACAUUGCCUGGACAGUGUGCAUCAUAAUUUACAAAAUAAACAAAUUUACAUUCAAGCUCAUUUGUGGGAUACUGGAAAACAUGCACGGUCACGCUUGUGAAGAGCUAUUGCAAAAGAAAUGACAGCGCAGGAAGAGCAUUCCAGAAACAUCCUGCCAACACAUCUGACACUGACAUGAAAGCACACAUUUAUCCCUAACGUUCCCAUUUCUGACACAUCCCCAGAGAACUGUUCCCUCUUUUACAAACCCGUCAACCCCUCAAUAUCUACAAACUGUACUCUAACAAAAUCAACAGGCUAAGGAUCAGGCCAUAAUAGGGGAACGAUUUCUUAGAAAAUCUAAAAAUACUUCCUCUGUACUGCAGUUGUGAUAGGUGGUCCAGCAUAAAUGAACAGCGUGAGCGGUUCUUCGGUCUCCUGUUGUUGAUUUCACACUUGGCGAGAAUAAGCUAUACAGAUGAGACACUGAGUGGUGAACAUGAACAAACAAAAUGCUCUGCAAGAAAGGUCACUGUGAGAGCCACGCUGUAAGGAAUUAUAGCCUUUACCAUCACCAGACAAUGUAUAGCUUUACUCAGGAAACCUGCUUUCUUAAUGCUUUAUUUUGGUUGGACAUGUAAGCAGCUCACUAAACUAAAAACCCUGUUACAAGCUGCUUGCAAAUGACUUGGAGGUCUAUAUUUUCAAAGGGUAAUGUGCAGGGAACAGAAGUAAUGACUUGUGAAAAAUCAGAAUUAGAUUUCUAUUCACUCACAGGGUAAAACGAGACUUUUCUUUUCUCACAUAUUCUGGCAAGAUUAUGUGAGAAAAGACUGCAGCAUUUCAGUCCUGCUGCCAAUAUGAGAGUGUUACCUUGGCAGCAGCAAGCAGACAGACAAUGGGGGUGUUACAAUGGGCCUUCUCAGCACUCUUCAGAGAGCUCCAUUUGCUCCCUGUUUCCUUUUAGACUAAGAGAUAUGUCCACCAACUACUCAGACACUUUCUGAUUCAGGACCAUGUUGUACUUUCACGUUCAGCCUGAGCAGGGGACAAAAGUUGCAACUUGACACUUGUAAUCUGGAGAAUUUUCACAGUCAUGAACACUUGUGAAGCUACUGGGGUUUACUGAAAUGCACUGGGAGUUUUGCUAAAUCUAAAUCGAGUCUAAGUCCUGUAAAUCAACAGACAAUUAAGAGAAGCUGGUGUCCUUGGUGUGUGGGUGUGUCUCAUCUCAUGUUCACUGUUGGCCGGACUCCUUGAAAAUUUUUUCAGGGGGAAGGAAAGGACUUUCCCCUGGGACAGGAAACCUGAAUCAAGAUAAACACGCUGGUGCGACAGCUCAUGUUGCCUUUUCUGAAAAUCCAGUUUCAUUCUUGAAGAUGUUCAUUUGAUCUCAUGUACAGAUGGACAGUCUGUUCAUGUUCACACAUCUGGGUUACAAGCAACACCAAAGAUCGACAGUAAUGGAAAGACAACAUUUGCAUAUUCUUUUGUGUACCUGUCAAAUAUAAGCAAUUUUCAUUUGUUGACCUUGUCUGCCAGAGCUCCCACAUGUACCACUAAUAGCAGGCUGAUUCACUGCACACAGGACAAGCCUACUCAUCUGUUCUCUGGUGAAGCUGCCCACACAGCAGCCCACUGCUCUACUGUACAGCAUCAACACUUAUGAAAAUGCAGAAAUGUCGCCACUGAUUUAUUUCCUCUGAGGCAUAUGCAGAGCUUGUGGAGAAUAAAUGAUUUUUCUACAAAUGUUCUGUGUCUGUCAGCAAUAAUGUAUCUGUAAAUCAACCUGGGAAUUAAUUAAAUCUCAUGAAGCAGUUUACAUAUUUUUCAAGUCAUUUGAUUUUUCUUGCACUGACAUGUCCUGUUUAGCAGAGAGACUUGUGUACUGGAAUAAUAACUGUCUUGGCAUAGGUUAAAAGUAUGUGAACAUAUGACUCAUGUUUUUCUUGAAGAUUGAAUAAUUAUCGAUAAUUAGUCAGGCUUUAUCCAAACCAUAAAACUGCUUCCAGUAUUUGGAGGAUGAUUAUUACAACAACAAAAACAUCUUGUUCUCAUUUAAUCCAAUAUCCAAAGCUCCUCUCCCUUUUCUGCUAUUUAAGGGAGUGACAGACAUUCCUGCAAACUCUGCAAGCAGAUUUUGUGGUUGAAAUGUAUCUUUUAGGUGUAAUUUAGUUUCCUUUAUUCCCAAAGUGUAUGAGGAUUCCUAUGGAUUUAAUAGCUGCACACUGACAGAACAUAAAUGACAGCUCAUAUGGUCCAUACACAGUUCAAGUGGAUUUAGGCAACAGUUUUUUUUUUUCAUCACAGACUUGUUCCCUUCAUUCAGUCCAAGGCAAGAAGGCUUGAGAGGGAACAGUUACUUCCUCCUGGAUGGGUCGAGAAGACGCUGGCACCAGAAUACAGUUGUCAGUUUGCCCAUCUACAUUAAGCAUCGGCUCACUGUGAUCACAAAGCAUCUGGAAUUAUUACAAUUUAACGGUGCAACAUUGUUACUUUGCGCGGUGAUUUGUGCACACACCGGGGACAUAACGGGACAAGUAUUCUUACUAUGGCGAGUACAAGACACCAUAAAACAACACGAUAUCUCUCAGCUAGUGCGUCGCAUCCUAUAACACUGUUGCAUCGUUAUUGGAGC